UUUAUAGGCAAAAAAAAUAAAUACUUUUAGCACUCGGGAAUAUGAUAUUUCUAUGGCUCCGUAUAAAACCAACCCAAGAGAGAAAAGCUCUAGUUACUGAGCACCAGAGUCUGCUGGGCACGUAUCGUUAUGAUUUUAAAUUAUUGAAAUAUCUUGUUUAUACCACAGCCAUAGAAAGGCUAGAACAACUCAUUAGAGCGUAAAUGGUAAAGGUGACUGUACACAAAAUGCGUAUUGCGUUAACGUGCGUAAAUCGCAUCCGAAAACGGACCGACACCGAACCAUCCGUUAGGUUUGAAAAAUGUUCAAAACUGAAUAUUAUUGCUGAAAAUUGUUGAAGUUUGUGAUGCACCCUUGUAGGCCUAUACCCUUUUGCACUGGUGCACCCCUGGCAUAUUUUGGUACACCCUAGGGUGCACUGUGCACACCGGUUGAACAGCACUGUUCUAUACAAUAACAUACUGUACAUACUAUCGAAAUGGGGAGCGCAAAAAUCAGCCUUGCUUGCUAUUUACCGAGCUUCGAUACGUCCCGUCAUUGGAUAUGAAAUCGAAGCAUAUUUCUCUGCAUCUCAGUCCAACAGAAGCGUAACACAAACCGUACAAAACAAACGUUUGCGCAUUGCCACUGGAAGUAUGAUCAUCACACCGAUUGUAUGUUUGCAAGCAUUGUGCCAGGAACCACCAGUUUACAUUCGAUAACAGAACGCUUGUCUAAAAUACAAGUUCAAGCUUCUAUCAUUCCCACUAGACCCUCAAAAUUCGAGCACACUACUACAGGCACCGACUAGGUCAUCUUCAUUUCUACAAGUUACAAAGGGAUUCUCAACCGAAACACGCGUCGGUAUCAUUCAACCGUUCACUUCGCCAAUGUGGGAAGUCACUGAAGAAUUCUGUUACACCUCUUCAGCGUCGCUUGGAGACAGUAACAUACCCAGCAACCAAAAACAAAGUAUCUUCGUCGAGAGGAUUGCAACUUACUACCAAGAAUAUACGCAAGUAUACUGCGAUGGUUCAAAACAAGUAUCUGGAUGUUCAUUUGUAAUACAAAGUUAAGGCUGCACAUCGUCGACUUCUCUACACAAGUGGUACUCUGCGUAUUCAUGUGAAUUAUUAGCAAUCUCGAUGACAUUGAAACAUGUAAGCUAUAAAGAACCACAUAUGUCCUCCUACGUCAUUAUCAGUGACUGUCUGAAUGUAUUCACAUCCACUGCACAACACAUCCACCCUACUAUAUGCUCAUUAAAAGACGUGUGCAUUUAUUUGAUUCUUGCUCUCUUGAUUUUUUUUGUUUUUUUUUAAAUCGGUCGUGCCCGCUUAUCAGAACCCAAGUAUUUUACUUUGCGGAUAACAUUUUCUGUAUGGCCGAAAUUUUGGGCAACCCUCUAGUGAAACCUAUGGGUUGGAGCAA
Non-coding RNA from Ciona intestinalis (vase tunicate), 1410 nucleotides. Lineage: Eukaryota; Metazoa; Chordata; Ascidiacea; Phlebobranchia; Cionidae. The record is from RefSeq and is a predicted model, not a curated record.